This 269-nucleotide ribosomal RNA is filed under the name uncultured bacterium. RNAcentral describes it as "partial 16S ribosomal RNA". It matches the Rfam family "Bacterial small subunit ribosomal RNA", at positions 89 to 354 of the family's 1533-position model. The record is from RNAcentral.
UGGCGACCGGCGCACGGGUGAGUAACACGUAUGCAACCUGGCCGUGACAGAUGGAUAACCGGGAGAAAUCCCGCCUAAUACAACAUAAUGCCGGGAGGGGACAUCCCCUGCCGGUCAAAGGGGGCGACCCCGGUCAUGGAUGGGCAUGCGGCGCAUUAGGUAGUUGGUGGGGCAACGGCCCACCAAGCCGACGAUGCGUAGGGGUUCUGAGAGGAAGGUCCCCCACAUUGGAACUGAGACACGGUCCAAACUCCUACGGAAGGCAGCAG